GACGAACGCUGGCGGCGUGCUUAACACAUGCAAGUCGAACGGAAAGGCCCCUUUGGGGGUACUCGAGUGGCGAACGGGUGAGUAACACGUGAGUAACCUGCCCUUGACUUCGGGAUAACUUCAGGAAACUGGGGCUAAUACCGGAUAGGAAUCCUUGCUGCAUGGUGGGGGUUGGAAAGCUUCGGCGGUUUUGGAUGGACUCGCGGCUUAUCAGCUUGUUGGUGGGGUAGUGGUUUACCAAGGCUUUGACGGGUAGCCGGCCUGAGAGGGCGACCGGCCACAUUGGGACUGAGAUACGGCCCAGACUCCUACGGGAGGCAGCAGUGGGGAAUAUUGCACAAUGGGCGGAAGCCUGAUGCAGCAACGCCGCGUGCGGGAUGACGGCCUUCGGGUUGUAAACCGCUUUCAGCAGGGGCGAAGCUUGUGGUGACGGUACCUGAAGAAGAAGCACCGGCUAACUACGUG
Molecule: ribosomal RNA, 465 nt
Filed under: uncultured bacterium
Lineage: Bacteria
Description: partial 16S ribosomal RNA
Rfam family: Bacterial small subunit ribosomal RNA
Source: RNAcentral